GAGCUUGCUCCUGUCAAGUUAGCGGCGGACGGGUGAGUAACACGUGGGCAACCUGCCCAAUAGUUGGGGAUAACUCCGGGAAACCGGGGCUAAUACCGAAUAAUACAUUUCAUCUCCUGUUGGAAUGUUGAAAGAUGGUUUACGCUAUCGCUAUUGGAUGGGCCCGCGGCGCAUUAGCUAGUUGGUGAGGUAACGGCUCACCAAGGCGACGAUGCGUAGCCGACCUGAGAGGGUGAUCGGCCACACUGGGACUGAGACACGGCCCAGACUCCUACGGGAGGCAGCAGUAGGGAAUCUUCCACAAUGGGCGAAAGCCUGAUGGAGCAACGCCGCGUGAGUGAAGAAGGUUUUCGGAUCGUAAAACUCUGUUGUAAGGGAAGAACAAGUACAGUAGUAACUGGCUGUACCUUGACGGUACCUUAUUAGAAAGCCACGGCUAACUACGUGCCAGCAGCCGCGGUAAUACGUAGGUGGCAAGCGUUGUCCGGAAUUAUUGGGCGUAAAGCGCGCGCAGGUGGUCCUUUAAGUCUGAUGUGAAAGC
Molecule: ribosomal RNA, 541 nt
Filed under: Lysinibacillus sp.
Lineage: Bacteria; Bacillati; Bacillota; Bacilli; Caryophanales; Bacillaceae
Description: bacterial SSU rRNA
Rfam family: Bacterial small subunit ribosomal RNA
Source: RNAcentral